This 429-nucleotide ribosomal RNA is filed under the name Bacteroidota bacterium. RNAcentral describes it as "Bacteroidetes bacterium partial 16S ribosomal RNA". It matches the Rfam family "Bacterial small subunit ribosomal RNA", at positions 355 to 776 of the family's 1533-position model. The record is from RNAcentral. Lineage: Bacteria; Pseudomonadati; Bacteroidota.
UAGGGAAUCUUCCGCAAUGGACGCAAGUCUGACGGAGCAACGCCGCGUGAGUGAAGAAGGAUUUCGGUUCGUAAAACUCUGUUGUUAGAGAAGAACAGCGCAUAGAGUAACUGUUAUGCGUGUGACGGUAUCUAACCAGAAAGCCACGGCUAACUACGUGCCAGCAGCCGCGGUAAUACGUAGGUGGCAAGCGUUGUCCGGAUUUAUUGGGCGUAAAGCGAGCGCAGGCGGUCAAUUAAGUCUGAUGUGAAAGCCCCCGGCUCAACCGGGGGGGGUCAUUGGAAACUGGUUGACUUGAGUGCAGAAGAGGAGAGUGGAAUUCCAUGUGUAGCGGUGAAAUGCGUAGAUAUAUGGAGGAACACCAGUGGCGAAGGCGACUCUCUGGUCUGUAACUGACGCUGAGGCUCGAAAGCGUGGGUAGCAAACAGG